AGUAGGGCGGGACACGUGUUAUCCUGUCUGAAUAUGGGGGGACCAUCCUCCAAGGCUAAAUACUCCUGACUGACCGAUAGUGAACCAGUACCGUGAGGGAAAGGCGAAAAGAACCCCUGUGAGGGGAGUGAAAUAGAACCUGAAACCGUGUACGUACAAGCAGUAGGAGCACCUUCGUGGUGUGACUGCGUACCUUUUGUAUAAUGGGUCAGCGACUUAUAUUCAGUGGCAAGGUUAACCAUCUAGGGGAGCCGUAGGGAAACCGAGUCUUAACUGGGCGCCAUAGUCUCUGGAUAUAGACCCGAAACCGAGUGAUCUAGCCAUGGGCAGGUUGAAGGUUGAGUAACAUCAACUGGAGGACCGAACCGACUAAUGUUGAAAAAUUAGCGGAUGACUUGUGGCUAGGGGUGAAAGGCCAAUCAAACUCGGAGAUAGCUGGUUCUCCCCGAAAGCUAUUUAGGUAGCGCCUCGGACGAAUACUACUGGGGGUAGAGCACUGUUAAGGCUAGGGGGUCAUCCCGACUUACCAACCCUUUGCAAACUCCGAAUACCAGUAAGUACUAUCCGGGAGACACACGGCGGGUGCUAACGUCCGUCGUGGAGAGGGAAACAACCCAGACCGCCAGCUAAGGUCCCAAAUUACAGCUAAGUGGGAAACGAUGUGGGAAGGCUUAGACAGCUAGGAUGUUGGCUUAGAAGCAGCCAUCAUUUAAAGAAAGCGUAAUAGCUCACUAGUCGAGUCGGCCUGCGCGGAAGAUGUAACGGGGCUAAGUUGUAAACCGAAGCUGCGGCAAUAUCUUUUAGAUAUUGGGUAGGGGAGCGUUCUGUAAGCCGUUGAAGGUGUGUUGUAAAGCAUGCUGGAGGUAUCAGAAGUGCGAAUGCUGACAUGAGUAACGACAAGGGGGGUGAAAAACCUCCCCGCCGGAAGACCAAGGGUUCCUGUCCAACGUUAAUCGGGGCAGGGUAAGUCGACCCCUAAGGCGAGGCCGAAAGGCGUAGUCGAUGGGAAACGGGUUAAUAUUCCCGUACUUCUUACAAUUGCGAUGGGGGGACGGAGAAGGCUAGGUGGGCCUGGCGACGGUUGUCCAGGUUCAAGUGCGUAGGCUGAGUGUUUAGGUAAAUCCGGAUACUCUUAAGGCUGAGACACGACGUCGAGCUACUACGGUAGUGAAGUCAUUGAUGCCAUGCUUCCAGGAAAAGCCUCUAAGCUUCAGAUUGUAAGGAAUCGUACCCCAAACCGACACAGGUGGUCGGGUAGAGAAUACCAAGGCGCUUGAGAGAACUCGGGUGAAGGAACUAGGCAAAAUGGUACCGUAACUUCGGGAGAAGGUACGCUCUUGAUGGUGAAGUCCCUUGCGGAUGGAGCUGACGAGAGUCGCAGAUACCAGGUGGCUGCAACUGUUUAUUAAAAACACAGCACUGUGCAAAAUCGUAAGAUGACGUAUACGGUGUGACGCCUGCCCGGUGCCGGAAGGUUAAUUGAUGGGGUUAGCGUAAGCGAAGCUCUUGAUCGAAGCCCCGGUAAACGGCGGCCGUAACUAUAACGGUCCUAAGGUAGCGAAAUUCCUUGUCGGGUAAGUUCCGACCUGCACGAAUGGCGUAAUGAUGGCCACGCUGUCUCCACCCGAGACUCAGUGAAAUUGAAAUCGCUGUGAAGAUGCAGUGUACCCGCGGCUAGACGGAAAGACCCCGUGAACCUUUACUACAGCUUGGCACUGAACAUUGAACCUACAUGUGUAGGAUAGGUGGGAGGCUUUGAAGACGUGACGCCAGUUGCGUUGGAGCCGUCCUUGAAAUACCACCCUUGUA
Molecule: ribosomal RNA, 1809 nt
Filed under: Vibrio vulnificus
Lineage: Bacteria; Pseudomonadati; Pseudomonadota; Gammaproteobacteria; Vibrionales; Vibrionaceae
Description: partial 23S ribosomal RNA
Rfam family: Bacterial large subunit ribosomal RNA
Source: RNAcentral